UAUGCAUGCGUUAGAGUCCGAGAAGCACUGCUUCCUUAAACAACUGCGUUAAAAACGUCAUAGAAACUGUAAAAUUAAAAGGGACUAUUUAAUUUCUAGGAUACUACUGAAUGAAUUAACAUCGAAAAAUGACCAUAAUGAAGAACGGGCCAGUCGACCAGAGAAUACUUAAAUGACGACGUUUAGGUACUUUGCAGCAACCAUGGUCACAUGCAGACGAGAUGAAAAAGACCCCCGAGGACAGAAAAAACCGGUAUCGUCAACUUCGAACUGACAACUUAUGACAGGAUGGUGCAACCCCUUACUAGCGUAAUUAAUAACAAGCCGCAAUCUAAAAUAUUUACAGCGCACGCGUAUAGGCAUUGGCUGUUACACAAUACCCACAAAAUCAGCUACAUUGGCUCACUUGACUCGUCCAUUAUCGCUGAUACUUCUUUCAUAAUUAUCACAAAAAAGUUUCUAUUCUAACAAAGUUCUAUUACUUCGAAUAAGUAGUAUAAUUUGUUUUUUUCAUCUAAUUAUGAGACGCCCUUUAAAGAUAUGAGACAAAAAUAUACAUGUUUAAAUUAUAUGCUUACAAAUGAUUUUUGAAGAUAUAAGUAACAA
Molecule: long non-coding RNA, 606 nt
Organism: Danaus plexippus (monarch butterfly)
Lineage: Eukaryota; Metazoa; Arthropoda; Insecta; Lepidoptera; Nymphalidae
Exons: 4
Source: RefSeq, a predicted model, not a curated record